Molecule: small nucleolar RNA, 154 nt
Organism: Amaranthus tricolor (Joseph's coat)
Lineage: Eukaryota; Viridiplantae; Streptophyta; Magnoliopsida; Caryophyllales; Amaranthaceae
Product: small nucleolar RNA snoR2/U65
Exons: 1
Source: RefSeq, a predicted model, not a curated record
GGUCCGAUGCCACGUCGCUGAUAGCGAAAUUUACUGCGAUGAUUUGCGAUGCUAUGAUUGGUACCUACAUCAAAUUUAAUUAUGUCUCGCAAUUGAUAGGAACCCGUUAGUCGUCAUUUAUGAUUAAACGGAGCCGGUUUUUGCGAUUACAUAU